Molecule: ribosomal RNA, 546 nt
Filed under: uncultured bacterium
Lineage: Bacteria
Description: partial 16S ribosomal RNA
Rfam family: Bacterial small subunit ribosomal RNA
Source: RNAcentral
UGGGGAAUUUUGGACAAUGGGCGAAAGCCUGAUCCAGCAAUGCCGCGUGUGUGAAGAAGGCCUUCGGGUUGUAAAGCACUUUUGUCCGGAAAGAAAUCCUUGGCUCUAAUACAGUCGGGGGAUGACGGUACCGGAAGAAUAAGCACCGGCUAACUACGUGCCAGCAGCCGCGGUAAUACGUAGGGUGCAAGCGUUAAUCGGAAUUACUGGGCGUAAAGCGUGCGCAGGCGGUUUGCUAAGACCGAUGUGAAAUCCCCGGGCUCAACCUGGGAACUGCAUUGGUGACUGGCAGGCUAGAGUAUGGCAGAGGGGGGUAGAAUUCCACGUGUAGCAGUGAAAUGCGUAGAGAUGUGGAGGAAUACCGAUGGCGAAGGCAGCCCCCUGGGCCAAUACUGACGCUCAUGCACGAAAGCGUGGGGAGCAAACAGGAUUAGUACCCUGGUAGUCCACGCCCUAAACGAUGUCAACUAGUUGUUGGGGAUUCAUUUCCUUAGUAACGUAGCUAACGCGUGAAGUUGACCGCCUGGGGAGUACGGUCGCAAGAUU